Long non-coding RNA from Drosophila serrata, 825 nucleotides. RefSeq lists it as uncharacterized. The record is from RefSeq and is a predicted model, not a curated record. NCBI's taxonomy places the organism in Eukaryota, Metazoa, Arthropoda, Insecta, Diptera, Drosophilidae.
AGUUAAGUUAAGUCUAGUUAAGUCUUGUCAUAGUCAGCUCCAAAAAGGGUUUUGCUUGAGUUGGAUUCUAAAAAAAUCGAAUAAAAAAUGAACAACAACGAAUCGAUCCCUAUUAAACUUGAAAAUUCCAAUAUCAUCAGCAUCGAUCUUACUAGCGACGAUGAAUUAGAGGAAACACGGAAAGUGGUCGUCGCUGAAUGUCGGAUCUGCUUAGAAAUGGCGGAGGUGCCAGUGGCCACUCUCUGUGGCCACAUCUAUUGCAUGAACUGCCUGAUCAAAGCCCUGGAAGACUGUGCCACCUGUCCGGUGUGUCGCCAAUCAAGAAACUUUAUUCGUCUCUACUACUAAUUUCAAAAUUGUUUUAUGUUGCGUUAAUUUUCAUUAUGUUGCUGUUAACUUGUUGUUUCAACUUGGAAAAAAGGGUAUCCAUCUGGCGUUGUUGCCUUGCCCCAACAGUGAUUGCCUCCCGUGGCGUAUUUAAAUGAGGAUUCCGUAAAAUCCAUUUAAAGGUCCAACCACGGACGCUGCUGCUCCUCCUGCCAAAGCACAGCCGCUCCUGGCCAAACUCCAUAUGAAUGAACUUAUUUCCGAAUAUUUUCUCCAACGCAUUGAGUGCUUAACAGGUUCUCGUCUCCUUCGAACGGAAAUAACUGCCUGGGCGCCCCAUCGAUUCCGGUAGGUUCUCCUUUUCCCCAUCCGACUCGUUCUGUCACGUCAUUGUGGCUUCAUCUCCAUUUCCAAUCCCAUUUCCAUUGCCAUCCCAGGCAUCAGCCGGCAGGAGCUUAGGGCACAUUUUUUGCCAAUGAAAUAAAUGCAUUAAAAUGA